Molecule: long non-coding RNA, 218 nt
Filed under: Setaria italica (foxtail millet)
Lineage: Eukaryota; Viridiplantae; Streptophyta; Magnoliopsida; Poales; Poaceae
Description: long non-coding RNA (SITA_LNC006927)
Source: RNAcentral
AAAAAUGUAGUAUUUGUUGAUGCGUUCCCAUCGCGGAAACAAUCUUGGUGUAUGGCUAUGAGACGUGAUGUGGAUCAUUCGAGGAGUCCUAGGGACACUCGACGGACAACCGGACUUAUACUGUUUUAAGUGCGUUUUGGAUAAUUGCUGUAUCGGCAGCGAUUAGGCGCAUUUAAACCAGUUUAAGUUGGACGGUUCCACCACAGUGCCCCCCUUUU